RNAcentral lists this ribosomal RNA (176 nucleotides) under Dyscia atlantica. Its description in RNAcentral is "partial 16S ribosomal RNA". The record is from RNAcentral. Lineage: Eukaryota; Metazoa; Arthropoda; Insecta; Lepidoptera; Geometridae.
UCUAUCUUUAAAAUUUUAAAUAUUUUAGUACGAAAGGAUCAAAUAUUUUAAUUAAAUUAUUAAAAAUUUAUUUGAAUUUUAUUAAAAUAGCUAAAAAAUUUUUAUUUAUUUAAUUUAAUUUUAUUUAAAUAUUUAUUUUAUUAAAAGUUAAGAUUAUAUUUAAAUUUAAAAUAAAA